Molecule: ribosomal RNA, 305 nt
Filed under: uncultured bacterium
Lineage: Bacteria
Description: bacterial SSU rRNA
Rfam family: Bacterial small subunit ribosomal RNA
Source: RNAcentral
UCCUACGGGGGGCAGCAGUGAGGAAUAUUGGUCAAUGGCCGGAAGGCUGAACCAGCCAAGCCGCGUGAAGGACGAAGGUGCCAAGCAUUGUAAACUUCUUUUGUCAAGGGACAAAAUCAGGCUCGAGAGCCUGACCGAGGGUACUUGAAGAAAAAGCAUCGGCUAACUCCGUGCCAGCAGCCGCGGUAAUACGGAGGAUGCGAGCGUUAUCCGGAUUUAUUGGGUUUAAAGGGUGCGUAGGCGGACUGUUAAGUCAGCGGUAAAAGCCCGGGGCUCAACCCUGGCGAGCCGUUGAAACUGGCUGU